CGUCUCAGUUCGGACUGUAGUCUGCAACCCGACUACACGAAGCUGGAAUCGCUAGUAAUCGCGGAUCAGAAUGCCGCGGUGAAUACGUUCCCGGGUCUUGUACACACCGCCCGUCACACCAUGGGAGUCGGUAACGCCCGAAGCCAGUGACCCAACCUUAGGGAGGGAGCUGUCGAAGGCGGGACGGAUAACUGGGGUGAAGUCGUAACAAGGUAGC
Molecule: ribosomal RNA, 217 nt
Filed under: uncultured bacterium
Lineage: Bacteria
Description: partial 16S ribosomal RNA
Rfam family: Bacterial small subunit ribosomal RNA
Source: RNAcentral